AUCUCUGGCUUCCUAGGACGCCAAUAAAAACUCUCGACACCUAAGCAAUAAUUCCCAACAGUCUUUUCUUUUUGGCCGAAGAGCGCGGGGAAUAAGACCAGAUGCAAAGGCCUCCUGUCUAGGUGACCGUGUUUGCGCGAGGGCUGCUAAGGAUACAGAGCGCAUCAUCCCUGAUGCACUGCACAGCACGUGUUGCUUGGCAAUAGGUGACUCCGCUGGCAUGGCUUCCUCACGGACACGAGGUAGGUGCACCUGUAACACAUGUUCUUUCCAGGGCCUGUUUAUAAGGAGGGGUGAUCAGGACUCACAUGGCGCCGUAAGGAGGGGCCCGACAGGGACACCUGGGGCGAUGGGGGACACAAGAGCAUGAGGAGGCAGGCGGGAAUUGGGAAGGAGGUGCGAUCGGCAUUCUCUGGAUGAGUCCUAAUCCAUCUUUGAGCGAAUCAUAAAACUCGGUUUGCUCUCCGUGUGCGGGGAGCUGUGUGUUGAGCACGUGUCUGCUCAGCGCGUUCCUUGGGCUCCUCCCACUUAUUGUCCAACCGAUGAGGAAGCAGAGAUGCAGUGACUCUGCCUGAGGGCUGACACUUCCCACAGGUGCCUGUGCCGUCCUUGGUUAUAUGCGUAAAAUGCCUUGGGAACGCUGAAGUUCUGCAAUAAUAGGAGUCAAAAUCAUUACCGUUACCUUAAUGGAUUCUGGCCGUCUGCC
This 706-nucleotide long non-coding RNA is filed under the name Sus scrofa (pig). Its description in RNAcentral is "lncRNA (ENSSSCG00035003513.1)". Lineage: Eukaryota; Metazoa; Chordata; Mammalia; Artiodactyla; Suidae. The record is from RNAcentral.